ACGCUAGCAAAUCAUAAACGUAUAAUAGACUUGUACAACCUAAUAAGCAUUAAUUGUAAGAGAUGCGACUAUUAUUUCUAUCAUUGGCUCUUGCCAUAAUCUUUGUCGUGACUAUCAUGCACACAUCCAAAGCGGAAGCAAACGCUGGUGGCUUUGGUCAAUUAGCUUUGCUCAAAAGUACAAAUCUUACUGAACUGAUUAAGUCAAUAUUAAAUCAAACUAGAUCCUCCUAACAAAACAAAUAACUUUCAUGGACUGAAGUGAGGAUUUUACUUCAAGAGAGAAAUGCGGAAAAAGAUUGCGAUAAAAAUGUGACAUUAUACGUAAAUGAUGCACAUAGGUAAUGUUAUUUAUAUUUUGAAAUAAAAAAUAUAAAUUAUUAUA
Molecule: long non-coding RNA, 384 nt
Organism: Wasmannia auropunctata (little fire ant)
Lineage: Eukaryota; Metazoa; Arthropoda; Insecta; Hymenoptera; Formicidae
Exons: 3
Source: RefSeq, a predicted model, not a curated record